AUCCCUUUGUUAUUCGUAAGUGUCAUGUUUGGGUGCUCAUGCUAUUGCAUAACGUGCCUCCCCACAAACCUUGUUACGACAUUGACAUACUACCCAUCUGAUG
Small nucleolar RNA from Pteronotus mesoamericanus, 103 nucleotides. RefSeq annotates it as small nucleolar RNA U13. The record is from RefSeq and is a predicted model, not a curated record. The transcript has a single exon. NCBI's taxonomy places the organism in Eukaryota, Metazoa, Chordata, Mammalia, Chiroptera, Mormoopidae.